This 506-nucleotide ribosomal RNA is filed under the name uncultured bacterium. RNAcentral describes it as "bacterial SSU rRNA". It matches the Rfam family "Bacterial small subunit ribosomal RNA", at positions 29 to 507 of the family's 1533-position model. The record is from RNAcentral.
AAUGAACGCUGGCGGCGUGCCUAACACAUGCAAGUCGAACGAGAAAUCCUGACUUCGGUUGGGAGAGUAAAGUGGCGCACGGGCGAGUAACGCGUGGGUAAUCUGCCCCUAAAUCUGGGAUAACUUCGCGAAAGUGUUGCUAAUACCGGAUAUCGUCCCUUAGGCUGUGGCCUUUGGGAUGAAAGGUGACCUAUUCAUGAAAGUUGCCGUUUAGGGAGGAGCUCGCGUACCAUUAGCUUGUUGGUGGGGUAAUGGCCUACCAAGGCUACGAUGGUUAGCUGGUCUGAGAGGAUGAUCAGCCACACUGGAACUGAAACACGGUCCAGACUCCUACGGGAGGCAGCAGUGAGGAAUUUUGCGCAAUGGGGGAAACCCUGACGCAGCAACGCCGCGUGAGUGAUGAAGAUUUUCGGAUCGUAAAGCUCUGUCAAGUGGGAAAAAAUACUUACGGUCAAUAGCCGUAAGGAUUGAUGGUACCACUGGAGGAAGCACCGGCUAACUCCGUG